CCAUAGCUCAGUGGUAGAGCAUCUGCCUGGCAUGCAGAAUGUUCUGGGUUCAAUCCCCAGCAUCUGGA
Molecule: non-coding RNA, 68 nt
Organism: Rhineura floridana
Lineage: Eukaryota; Metazoa; Chordata; Lepidosauria; Squamata; Rhineuridae
Source: the annotation of a RefSeq genome assembly